GAAAACAGCUUGUUUCUUUUACAUUCUAGGGCUCAGGCUAGAUAAUUAUGCAAAAAAUGAAGUGAAAAAAAGUUCAUCACAAGUUUGUGAUAUGCGACACGUAUACGUAAUAGCUCUGUCUGUUAAUGGAUACUAAUUUAUACACACAGAAGGGUCUCAUAUUUUCCCUUCAAACACCCACUGCUUGUUCAUAUGAAUUCAUGUGAAC
Molecule: unclassified non-coding RNA, 208 nt
Filed under: Hevea brasiliensis (rubber tree)
Lineage: Eukaryota; Viridiplantae; Streptophyta; Magnoliopsida; Malpighiales; Euphorbiaceae
Source: RNAcentral